This 274-nucleotide unclassified non-coding RNA is filed under the name uncultured fungus. RNAcentral describes it as "sequence contains 18S rRNA gene, ITS1, 5.8S rRNA gene, ITS2". Lineage: Eukaryota; Fungi. The record is from RNAcentral.
CAUUCUAAACAUAUUCAGAGGUUGUAAAGGUAAACAUAGACCUGGAAAGCCAAGGAAAAGCUGGCUGAAGCACAGCAGUCCUCAAUCUAUACAAAAUAAUCAGAAGAAUUCCAGGCCUACAAUAUGUGCACAGUGGGGGAAAGUAAAGAUGACAAGUGUGCACAUGCUCAGUAGAGCCAGCAACAACCUGAUCAAGUUUAUUCAAUAAUGAUCCUUCCGCAGGUUCACCUACGGAAACCUUGUUACGACUUUUACUUCCUCUAAAUGACCAAGA